This 492-nucleotide ribosomal RNA is filed under the name uncultured bacterium. RNAcentral's name for it is "partial 16S ribosomal RNA". It matches the Rfam family "Bacterial small subunit ribosomal RNA", at positions 29 to 523 of the family's 1533-position model. The record is from RNAcentral.
AAUGAACGUUGGCGGCGUGGAUUAGGCAUGCAAGUCGAGCGAGAACCCGCAAGGGGGACAGCGGCAAACGGGGUAGGAAUGAUUGGUGACGUACCCUCGGGACGGGGAUAGCCACGGGAAACUGUGGGUAAUACCCGAUAAUCUCCCAGGUUUGAAGACCUGGGUGCAAAGGUGUGAUUCCACCGGAGGAGCGGCCAAUCUGGUAUUAGCUAGUUGGUAGGGUAACGGCCUACCAAGGCUACGAUGCCUAGGGGGUGUGAGAGCAUGGCCCCCACCACUGGGACUGAGAUACUGCCCAGACACCUACGGGUGGCUGCAGUCGAGAAUCUUCGGCAAUGGGCGAAAGCCUGACCGAGCGACGCCGCGUGCGGGAUGAAGGCCUUCGGGUUGUAAACCGCUGUCAGAGGGGAUGAAGUUAUAGGAGGUUCUCCUUCUAUAUUGACAGAGCCUCAGAGGAAGCACGGGCUAAGUAUGUGCCAGCCGCCGCAGAAA